GGCGGCAUGGCCAAGUGGUAAGGCGGGGGACUGCAACUGCAAAUCCUUUAUCCCCAGUUCAAAUCCAGGUGUCGCCU
Molecule: transfer RNA, 77 nt
Filed under: Asparagus officinalis (garden asparagus)
Lineage: Eukaryota; Viridiplantae; Streptophyta; Magnoliopsida; Asparagales; Asparagaceae
Description: tRNA A4U43_Cys283
Rfam family: tRNA
About the family: Transfer RNA (tRNA) molecules are approximately 80 nucleotides in length. Their secondary structure includes four short double-helical elements and three loops (D, anti-codon, and T loops). Further hydrogen bonds mediate the characteristic L-shaped molecular structure. tRNAs have two regions of fundamental functional importance: the anti-codon, which is responsible for specific mRNA codon recognition, and the 3' end, to which the tRNAs corresponding amino acid is attached (by aminoacyl-tRNA synthetases). tRNAs cope with the degeneracy of the genetic code in two manners: having more than one tRNA (with a specific anti-codon) for a particular amino acid; and 'wobble' base-pairing, i.e. permitting non-standard base-pairing at the 3rd anti-codon position.
Source: Rfam by way of RNAcentral